Molecule: long non-coding RNA, 2567 nt
Organism: Lolium perenne
Lineage: Eukaryota; Viridiplantae; Streptophyta; Magnoliopsida; Poales; Poaceae
Source: RefSeq, a predicted model, not a curated record
AUCCCGCAAACUGCGAAAGAACGCGUCGACAAAACUGUCCUGCAGCCAACCCCACCAUGGCACCACCUCCCUUAACCCUAAUCACAUCAAUCCACGGCCAAUCCCAAAAGCGCGAUUCUCUCCUCUGCGGAUCGGCUGACGUCGCCGCCCUCCACAAGCCACCGGCCGGGGCUGACGUCGCCACCCUGCGCAAGCCACCGGCCGCGGCUGCCUUUGCUUCGCUCCCGCCACUGCCGGCCGGCUGCCCGCAUUGCAUCCUUUCUCCCGUACCACUUCCCAAGCCUGCAUUCCACCCUCCAUGCCUCUCCACCGACGCGCCCUGCAGGGGAUGCACGAGUCGUCGAUCCCAUUCCCCCGUCCCCGUCCCCUGGACUGGCCACCGGUGGCGCCCUCCCUUCCCACCCCUCCCCUGCACCCGCCAGCCGCCCAUCCCCAGAUUGAAGACUUCCUGCUGCACCACAAGAUGGUCCCGCAUCCCUGCACGCUGAUCGGUCAUCCGCGCAAUCAGGACCCUCAUGCGGCCGCGCGCAUCCUACAACUCAGAUGGGGACGACGAACCAGAGUUCUACAUAUUGCAAGCUGAUCACGUAAAGGAGGUUCGUACCCUCAUCCAGAUUGAGUAGUUCAGUCAGUUAUACUGCAGUUUAAUGGUUUCUGUUAAUGCUCCUUGGUGCAAACGGAAGAUGCAGCAACCAGAUUGUAGAGUCCGGCCUCCAUCAGCACGAGGCUGCAAUGCUCCAUUUCAAGAUUUUGUCUAUUCUUCAUUGACUUCCAGGAGUUGAUGUGAUUGUUUUAUUUUUCAGAUUUAGUGUUUCUGAAGAGAACGAGGUGUAGCCUUUCCCACUGCCAGAGUUUAUCCUUUUUAAAGCUUUUUUAUCAUUAUAUCACUAAUUCAUGAACGAAGUUGAAAUUUUGCAGGAGUUUUUGUGCAACUGAAUUGGCAAGGCAGGUAACUACCUCCAGGUUAAUCAUUUGUGAUUUGAAUUGUUGAUUGAUCAAUAUUAUUCCUUGAAGCAUGUCAAACUGUAACUUAAUUCUUGAUCUCUGCAAUGCUAUAAUGCUCUUGGCUGGCAUUCUGAUUCAUCACAAAGUUUUCAUGUUUAGUUCUGUAUCAAAUAGGUAAUUUACGAAAAUGAGCUCCUAAUGCAAUGCCGAUUUUCUUCUAACGCAGUGGUUCCACAAAAGAUAUGGAUGCUUUUCUUCAUGGAUUGCAGGUAAAGAAGUUUGUGGUGGAGGCUUUGGUGAAGCUGCUACUUGAGGAAGUCUUUUUGAUCAACACUUAGUACACGUCCUCUUUUAUAUGCCUUCUGUCUAUUGCAAAUGUGAACGAGGUCUGGGCAUGCAUAAUUUCAUGAAACAUACCAUCCUGGUACUUCUGAAUGCCAUACAGUUCUAUCAUUUCACAAGGACAUAGCAUUUUCUGCAUUUAGGCUAGGGUUAACACAACAAGGUAAAAAAAGAUUUGGUCAGAGACUUAACCGGGCGUCUAAAUUUGAAAACACGAUAGAAAAUAGUAUGCUACAAUUGGUAGUGUUACAGUUCAACAAACAAUAUUGGAGCACAUGAAAAUAGGUCGGCUUUGUUUGCCAUUCACGUCAUAGCUUGCAUAUGAGAAAGACAUGGAAAUUCUCAUUAGAACUACUAUGUGGUGUCGUCUUUGUUUAGAAUUCUCUAAAGAUGCAUAUUAACACAAACAUUAUGUAUCCUCAACCUAGCAAAUAGUAUGUAUCAGUCAAUGUUUGUAAUAUCUCAAAUGCAAGGGGAUACUUGUUCGGAGUGUUAAAAAAACUCCUAUUUUGUUGGAGCACAAUACAAGGUGGAUUUAUAACAAACAUGCAACUAUGGAUAAGGAUAUUGUAUGAACCAAAACUGAAUUCAAUGGUAGGAGAGAGCGAUCCCUCUACCAUUACGUGGAUUGGCAUUCAUGCUCUCUAUACAGGAUCACUUCUCGAUGCUUUUUUCCCCUAACCGUGAAGUCUCUUAUUUGCAUAUAGACCACACCUAUAAUCUGAGUGACGCUCACACUGAAACCAAUGUCCUUCUGAAUGCCAAAUUCUCGGGUUCACGAUCGCUGAUUUUGAAUAUGCAGGGAAGCAGUUUUUCAUGGUUGGAACCGUUCCUGUUUCGGAAAUGUGGUUUGUAUCCUUCAUUGAAGGGAAUGUACAAGUGAUGUAUGGUGUUUCUUCUGUUACAACUUACAACCUGGCUGCGUCGUCCUCCAUGCGCCUCUCUUCGCCAAAUCUGGCUCCCGCCGAUCUCAAAGGUCAUGCAAAAUAGGUGGAGGCCGUGGUUCCAUCCUCCCUAACCCCGUCGCUGCGGUGAAAUUCGGGCAACCACGGAACCUCAGAUCCUCGCCCGUGUCGUGAAGAAUAGGUGGAAGCCGUUUUGAUCAUAUUCUUUAGUUUAGCAUGAAAAAUUCUAAUCAUCAUUCUCUCUAUAAAUGCAUCGAAACGCAAGCUUUUGUGUUUUGUCGAAAAAAAGUCUAAUCAUCAAGGAAAGUACGGUUAGACAUCACAGUGAUGCAGUAUGUAGCUAUGUUUGUCAAGGUCAAGGUUCAGGUACUGUCA